UGUUGUCAUAUUCUCCUCUCUCCCUUCCCUUCCCUUCCUCGUUCCAUUGCAAAGAGAGAGAGAGGGAGGGAGAGGGAGAGGGAGAGAGGAAGUUGGC
RNAcentral lists this microRNA precursor (97 nucleotides) under Trypanosoma vivax Y486. The record is from RNAcentral. Lineage: Eukaryota; Euglenozoa; Kinetoplastea; Trypanosomatida; Trypanosomatidae.